RNAcentral lists this ribosomal RNA (465 nucleotides) under uncultured bacterium. RNAcentral describes it as "partial 16S ribosomal RNA". It matches the Rfam family "Bacterial small subunit ribosomal RNA", at positions 28 to 507 of the family's 1533-position model. The record is from RNAcentral.
GACGAACGCUGGCGGCGUGCUUAACACAUGCAAGUCGAACGGAAAGGCCCUGCUUGCAGGGUACUCGAGUGGCGAACGGGUGAGUAACACGUGGGUGAUCUGCCCUGCACUUCGGGAUAAGCCUGGGAAACUGGGUCUAAUACCGGAUAGGAGCCAUUUUUAGUGUGAUGGUUGGAAAGUUUUUUCGGUGUAGGAUGAGCUCGCGGCCUAUCAGCUUGUUGGUGGGGUAAUGGCCUACCAAGGCGGCGACGGGUAGCCGGCCUGAGAGGGUGGACGGCCACAUUGGGACUGAGAUACGGCCCAGACUCCGACGGGAGGAAGCAGUGGGGAAGAUUGCACAAGGGGCGCAAGCCUGAUGCAGCGACGCCGCGGGGGGGAGGACGGCCUUCGGGUUGUAAACUCCUUUCGCUAGGGACGAAGCUUUUUGUGACGGUACCUAGAUAAGAAGCACCGGCUAACUACGUG